RNA transcript from Cucumis sativus (cucumber), 1997 nucleotides. It is a transcript of the gene named sialyltransferase-like protein 2, with no coding region annotated. NCBI's taxonomy places the organism in Eukaryota, Viridiplantae, Streptophyta, Magnoliopsida, Cucurbitales, Cucurbitaceae. The record is from RefSeq and is a predicted model, not a curated record. The transcript has 12 exons.
UCAAAUUAAUACCGUCCUGCCUUUUCUCUUUGGGUGAAAGUUUUCUGGUUGGAACUUCGAAUAACACCGUUUCCAGUGAGAGCGGAAUCAAGAUACAGGAAAUUACAAAUCAAGGUUGAUUCUCGUCGAGAUCCAUUGGGUGAAGGAACUGAUACCUACAUAUCCAGCUUUCAGAUCCAAUCAAGCUUCUUUCUAUAUAGAUGAAGCUGUUGCAUUUCGCCUUUUUGCUUGCUUUAGCUUCUGGAUUUACCGCUAUACUCAUCUACAUUAACGGUGUUUCUAACCUAUAUGGCAAUUAUCAACUUUCCGACGAGGAUUUUGAAGCUCUGCAAUCUCUUCAGGGCAAUUUCCAGAAGUGUGUGAGUGCGAAUGGAUUGGGUUUACAAGCUGAAGGUGGUGAUGAUUAUUGCCUAGUUACAAUGAGGUUUCCUCAAGAUACUAUUCCCAAAUGGAAAGACCCUAAAACUGGUGAUCUUGAAGGCUUAUCAUAUGAAUUUAAUCUUUGCGAAGCUGUGGCAAUUUGGGAACAGGUGCGGAACAGUACCACCAUACUGACCAGGGAGUACAUUGAUGGCUUGCCAAAUGGAUGGGAGGAGUAUGCUUGGCGUAGGAUUAACAAGGGAGUACUUCUUAAUCGUUGCGUGAAUAAAACAUUGUGCAUGGAGAAACUUUCCCUAGUACUUCCUGAAACACCACCAUAUGUACCAAAACAGUAUGGUCGUUGUGCUGUUGUGGGAAAUUCUGGAGAUCUCUUGAAAACCAAAUUUGGGGAGGAAAUAGAUGGUUUUGAUGUUGUUAUCAGGGAAAAUGGGGCCCCUAUCCAGAACUAUACUGACCAUGUGGGUAAAAAGAGCACCUUUCGUCUUCUUAAUAGAGGAUCUGCGAAAGCUCUGGAUAAAGUCGUGGAGUUAGAUGAAACAAGAAGGGAGGUUUUGUUGGUUAAAACAACAAUUCAUGACAUCAUGAACAAGAUGAUUAAGGAGGUUCCAAUAAAAAAUCCUGUCUAUCUCAUGCUUGGUGCUUCAUUUGGUUCUGCUGCAAAAGGAACUGGGCUCAAGGCUCUUGAGUUUGCUCUCUCUAUAUGUGACUCUGUAGAUAUGUAUGGUUUCACUGUUGAUCCUGGUUAUAAAGAAUGGACAAGAUACUUUUCAGAAUCUCGACAAGGUCAUACACCUCUUCAUGGUAGGGCGUAUUACCAGAUGAUGGAAUGUUUGGGUGAAGUAAUAGUAUUUUAUAAACUGUUUAGCUUGUCAAAAUCCAUUCUCCAAUGCGACCUAACCCUCGCCGGGUGGUGAAGUGGGUACCAAGCCAAAAGAUGGUUAAUGCUGCUAGAGUUGCAUCUGAGAAACGAUUGAGGAAGGUUGGAGCUGGUUCUAGAGACCCAUUGGCUGCAUGUUCCAUCAUAAAAAUGCAAAGCAGAAGUACGCCAAUAUCAAUUUCAAGCUUACGCAAACCUGCCGCUGACCAUCAAAAAUAUGUGAGAGGCACAACCAUGUAUCCUUUGGAGCAUAAUCCUGGUCGUGGCCUUCUUUGCACAGUGCCACCAAGUUGAAUCCAUGAAUUGAUUGAUGAAGUUCAUUUCUAACCAGACAUCGUUGCAGCAGAGGAUUGAAAGACAAGAAGACAUCAUCCAUUUUUUCAAAAUUCAGAACUUCUGCAUGCACAUCUUCCGAGUCUUGAAACUUGGGAUUUUUCAGUCCAUGUAUUCUUGAUUCAUUCUCUUUCUAGCAAUAGCACGAGCAUUCAUCGGUGGUGACUGCAUUAAAAGGUCUUAGUGGUUAUUUUUCACCCAUUGUUCGUGCAAUUUAGUUCGAAGAGUAAUUGCAAAUACGCCUUUUGUCAUUCAGGCUUGUUCCUGCUCGUCCGAGAACAAUUUUUUUCUCCUGUAAAGUCUGGAUUGGUGAGGUGAGCUGAUUUUGAUAUAGAAAUUGAUAUUAUGAAUUUAUUUGGACUGCCGACUGCCCCACAUAUUGAUUAUUGAGUGGAGUGGUUUAUAA